CAAGUCAAGGGGGCCCAGCAAUGGGCAACCGGCGAACGGGUGCGUAACACGUGAGCAACCUACCGAACUGUGGGGGAUAGCCGGCCUAACGGCCGAGUAAUACCGCAUACGCUUUCAUUGAGGCAUUUCAGUGAAAGGAAACCUACGGGACAGAUCGAGGAGCUCGCGGCCUAUCAGCUAGUUGGCGGGGUAACGGCUCACCAAGGCGACGACGGGUAGCUGGUCUGAGAGGAUGGCCAGCCACAUUGGGACUGAGAUACGGCCCAGACUCCUACGGGAGGCAGCAGUGGGGAAUCUUGCGCAAUGGCCUAACGGCUGACGCAGCGACGCCGCGUGUGGGAUGAAGCUCCUCGGAGUGUAAACCACUGUUGCCCGGGACGAAUAGCUCGAUUAAUCGAGCCUGACGGUACCGGGUGAGGAAGCACCGGCUAACUCCGUGCCAGCAGCCGCGGUAAUACGGGGGGUGCGAGCGUUGUCCGGAAUCACUGGGCGUAAAGGGCGCGUAGGUGGUUUGAUAAGGGUGUGGUGAAAGCCCGGGGCUCAACCCCGGGUCUGCCGUGCCGACUGUCAAACUCGAGGGCUGUAGAGGCAGACGGAAUUCCGGGUGUAGCGGUGGAAUGCGUAGAGAUCCGGAGGAAGACCGGUGGCGAAGGCGGUCUGCUGGGCAGUUUCUGACAGUGAUGCGCGACAGCGUGGGGAGCAAACAGGAUUAGAUACCCUGGUAGUCCACGCCGUAAACGAUGGGUACUAGGUGCCUGGGGGAGCGACCCUCUGGGUGCCGGCGCUAACGCAGGAAGUA
This 799-nucleotide ribosomal RNA is filed under the name uncultured Gemmatimonadota bacterium. RNAcentral describes it as "bacterial SSU rRNA". It matches the Rfam family "Bacterial small subunit ribosomal RNA", at positions 58 to 866 of the family's 1533-position model. The record is from RNAcentral. Lineage: Bacteria; Pseudomonadati; Gemmatimonadota.